This 122-nucleotide small RNA is filed under the name Salmonella enterica. RNAcentral describes it as "RtT sRNA". It matches the Rfam family "RtT RNA". Rfam says of the family: This family represents a bacterial cis-regulatory element known as RtT RNA. The exact function of RtT is unknown although it is thought that it may be involved in changing the cellular response in relation to amino acid starvation. Lineage: Bacteria; Pseudomonadati; Pseudomonadota; Gammaproteobacteria; Enterobacterales; Enterobacteriaceae. RNAcentral also lists the same sequence under 1 other name. The record is from RNAcentral.
AUGCACAGAAUUCAAUGAUUCGAACCUGCGGCAGGUUCGUGUCGAACGCAGUGAGACAACGGAGCCGCUUGCGGCGACGGCCCGAAGGGCGAGCGAAGCGAGUCAUCCUGCACGACCCACCA